Molecule: long non-coding RNA, 1882 nt
Organism: Prinia subflava (tawny-flanked prinia)
Lineage: Eukaryota; Metazoa; Chordata; Aves; Passeriformes; Cisticolidae
Exons: 2
Source: RefSeq, a predicted model, not a curated record
GCCUGACAUUGGUCUGAAUUUAGGCUUCAGGCUCUGCUAGUGUCUGUGUGAAAGGCAGACGAGCAACUUUCUCAUGUUAGCCUGAGAAAUCUAAAGGAGGAAUUCAAACAAACCUUGGGAAGUGAGAAACCAUCUGCAGGUGGUGUUUUUCCAACGUGUUUACUGGAAAGAAAUGUUUACUAAAGGGUGUAGACGCUGAAUAACCAAUCAUGUUCUUUGUACCGAACUACUCUAUAAAAGUAGAAUGUAGAAGAAUAAAGGUUGCUCUCAUCUUUACCAUCAUGGAGAGUCAUGUUGUUAUUUCUGUGCCGUCCGAAAACCAUAGCAACAUCUGGUGACCUGACGUUUCGAAGAAGUUCAGCGCAGCCGGGACUGAUUCAUGCAGCAAAGCUUGAAAAAUUGCUACCUGCCUCCUCAGAGAGAAAAGACAGCCGGGCAGAGGUUCCAGAAAAACCUGGGGAACCCCUCUCCUGAGAGAGGACAGCUUGUGCCUUUCCUGACAAGAGCAGCUGGAAUUCUUCGCUGCCGACAGCUUGCCCAGCGCUCCCCCGACCUCUUUCGGUUCUGUCUGGCCAAGAUCAAAGCGAGCGUCUGUAAGCCUCUCCCGGCCGGCAGAGACGGCGCUUCCUUGGCUUUUCCUUCUCCUUUCUUCAUACCACGGAUGGCUGGCAGUGGUUCCUGCGCUAUCAUCCACUGCGACUAGUCUGUACCGUGACUUUAAAAGAUGCUAGCCCGUCCAAGAUACAGCUGGUCAGAUUCCGACCCAGAGUGUGACACAACGAUCCUUUCCUCCUCGGCGUGGCCCCGCAUCUGGCCUGCGGACGGGACCGGGAUCGAAAACCUUUGAUCCCUCUGUAUCCUUCUGUGUGUUCAGGGCGAAAAGUUCACUUUAUGAGUGUUUUAUGCUUUUAACGUUACCUGUGCUUGUUUUUAUGAUUGCCUGUGUGAGUUUAGGGCUUGUCUUUCUUUGUGUCUCUGUGUUUUAACUUUGUUCUUUCCCUUGUGCGGGUGUGGGGGGUGCGGUGAGACAGAGGCAUGGCAGCACGGAUGCGAUCUCCCUGCCUUCUCUCUCUCUCGCUCGGUUUUUCUCCCGCCCUGCUCCAGGGCGCUGCAGCGGCUGCAAAAUCUCUCUCUCUCUCUCGUUUUUCCGUACUCGGUUUCCCCCCGUCCCCGCGGGCGCGCAGGUCCCUUCCCCGCGCGGUGCCGCUGAGACGGGCGGCUUGGAGCAGCUUUGCCUCUUCGUCCCCCCCCCUUCCCCCCAGGGCGGUGAGGGGGGCCACCGGCUCUCCGCUUGAGACAGGCGGCGGCAGGGUGGCGGCGGGCUGAGCCCCGCCAAGCCCCGCUCCGUUGUCCCCUCUCCGUAUCCCCUCCAUUUCCUUCCCGCGUGAAUUUGCACAGCAAGUCGUCAUAGGAACGGAGGAGCGGUCUCCUCGCUCCUUUUCCCCCUUCCCCCCGCCAUGAGCGGCGGGGUUCGCUCCCCCACUCCUUCCCUGCGGGCCAAGCGGCUGGCUGCGAAUAGGGCACGAGGAACUUGCCGUUCCUCUAGACAGCGGAUAAUGCUGUGGGAGUUGCUUCGCUUGAAUUUUUUUUUUUUUUUACAUAGAAAUGGGGGCCACGUUUGUUUGGAUUUCCCCCAGCUCUGCGGAGCGGCCCUGGGGCCAUUGAGCCCCCAAAGCCCCACUCAGGGCAGGGCCAAAUAGCUUCGUCGCCUUUGAGGUGAGCAGAAGCUUUUUCCUUUACAGAAAAAUGGGGGCCACGUUUGUUUGGAUUUCCCCCAGCUCCGCGGGGCGGCCCUGGGGCCCUUGAGCCCCCAAAGCCCCACUGAGGGAGGGCCAAAUAGCUUCGUUGCCUUUGAGGUGAGCAGAAGCUUUUCCCUUUAGAG